CGUUACUUUCAGUCGUAUUAUUCUACUAAUGGUAUUAUUACACUAUUUAAAACUCAAAUAAUUAGAAAAUGUCUAGUGAAAAGUUAGUUUGUGUUAUUUGUAAAAAAAAUGAUGCUAAAGUGAUUGCUUUUGUGGAGAAAACUCUAAAAAAAAGUCAGGAGGUGUUAAAUAUCCGUAAACAUCAUAGGUUAAAAUAUAAUCAUAUUGUUUUGCCAGUGAUUCCUAACCUUUCAGAUGGUUAUCACACAAGUUGUUAUAAGAAUUUUAUAGCUUUGAUGAAAAAAUAUAGUGAAAAUACUGUGAUUGAAUCCAAUAUUUAUACUCUUACAAAAGUUCUUUGACACCUAAUAGAAACGGAUGGACACUUAAUGAGGAUACGCUAGAUUUUCACUGGUUUGACGGAGAGUGUAUGCCGCAAUUAGUAUUCGACGCUGUUGUUCACGAGGAAAAUAAAAAUAACGAUGAUGAAAAUCAUACUACAGAUGAUGAAGAGGUUGCCGAAUCUGAUACAGAUGAAUCCGAAGAUUCAAGUAGUUCCGAUGAAGAUUCUGAUCCACAGACGAAAAAUGAUAAUUUAUCUGACGUGAAACGAAUUUAAUUUAUUUCAAAUUUUUUUAUACUUAAAUAAUUGAAACACUGAAGAAAUAUUAUAUUUUUAUAAAU
Long non-coding RNA from Pieris napi, 663 nucleotides. RefSeq lists it as uncharacterized. The record is from RefSeq and is a predicted model, not a curated record. The transcript is spliced from 3 exons. NCBI's taxonomy places the organism in Eukaryota, Metazoa, Arthropoda, Insecta, Lepidoptera, Pieridae.